AUUGAACGCUGGCGGCAGGCUUAACACAUGCAAGUCGAGCGAGCGGCGGACGGGUGAGUAAUGUCUGGGAAACUGCCUGAUGGAGGGGGAUAACUACUGGAAACGGUAGCUAAUACCGCAUACCAUCAGAUGUGCCCAGAUGGGAUUAGCUAGUAGGUGGGGUAAUGGCGCACCUAGGCGACGGUCCCUAGCUGGUCUGAGAGGAUGACCAGCCACACGUGAACUGCGACACGGUCCGGACUCCUAUGGGAGGCAGCAGUGGGGAAUUUUGCACAAUGGGCGCAAGCCAGAUGCAGCCAUUCCUGGUGUAUGAAGAAGGCCUUCGGGUUGUAAAGCACUUUCAGCGAGGAGGCGUUACUCGCAGAAUAGGCACCGGCUAACUCCGUGCCAGCAGCCGCGGUAAUAC
RNAcentral lists this ribosomal RNA (406 nucleotides) under uncultured bacterium. RNAcentral describes it as "partial 16S ribosomal RNA". It matches the Rfam family "Bacterial small subunit ribosomal RNA", at positions 30 to 526 of the family's 1533-position model. The record is from RNAcentral.